Molecule: long non-coding RNA, 1622 nt
Organism: Macadamia integrifolia
Lineage: Eukaryota; Viridiplantae; Streptophyta; Magnoliopsida; Proteales; Proteaceae
Exons: 2
Source: RefSeq, a predicted model, not a curated record
UAAUGGUAUGGGAUUCACAUGGUUAAGCUAGGAGAAAGUAAGAGAAUGAUAAUAUAUUGGCAUUGUGGGAAUUUUUUCCCAUAUAGUAAUCCGGAUUUUUUUCCUAGAUAAAUUCCCCCUUUUCUAUCAUCAGCUAGUAGCGCAGCUCAGCUACAUACAUAUCCAGCUUUUUUUUUUUUUUUUUCUCUAGUAAGACAUAUCCAGCUUGUUGGGUGCAUGAGUCCAGGAGGUUGAAGUUAUUGACCCUCCAAAGUUCAUAUCUGGCUUGUAGCCGGGCGACUGGUCCUCCAGAUGGCAUUUAUUGAAAUGGAAAAAGUUCUGUCACCCUCAAUGAAGUGAAAAUCAUUUCUCCUUCAUUGUCGAAGUUUAAUAUAUUCUUUCUCAAUCCAAUCAAAAGGUCAAAUCCUGUAAAUUAAGAGAUUCUCUCUUCCUUUCGAUUUUCCUGUGUAUAAAGAGAAAUUCCAUUGGAUCUAAUCUAUUUGAAAUCAACAAACUUAAAAGUACUAUUGCUUCGUCACAACGUUUUUAAAGAGUGGAACCGGGUCUGGUCGAUAGCAGCUGGGAUUGGUCAAGAAUCCAUUCUAAACCUAGUUUUUGAAAGGGGAUCAGUCGAGUCAAUCGGAUUGGCCUUGACCGAUCCUAAUUCUUGGAUGCAAGGUCUAUCACUGCUGUUCGGAUUCUGAUUCAGCCCAGGUUCAGGCCCAGGCCCAGAGACCCAUAAUUGCAAGAAUGAAAAAUUAGCUAUGCCACGUGCUCCUGAUACUAAAAGUUUAUAUGGGCGCCAUCCCACCGGUUCAUGUCAUUCAAUUCAAAUCCUUUUGCGGGAUUCUGAUCUUAUCUUCCGCCAUCAGAAAGAAAGUGGAAAACCAUUAUUAACCUCUUCCCUUUUCCCCUUCUUUAAUGUAUUAAAUUCUUAUUUUUACAGCUGGGAUCUAGAAACCCAACUUCGAAUGGAAUUAUGAUAGAAUGUAAGGUAUUUGUGAAUUUGUUUAUCUCUACACUAAAACUAUAUGACCAAAAGGAAGCAAAUGAAACCAAAAUGAAAAGUGAUAAGACUUCUAGUUGGAUAAUUGAAUUGUGACAUAAAGGUUUUGAUUCGUGUCUCUCUACUUAAGUUACUCUAAAUUAAGAGUUUUAUUUCUGGAUCAUAUGUUCCGGUUAUGAAUUCAGUCACAGGAUUCAAAUCGUGAACCUUGCAAGUACUCAAACCAUUGAAUUUCUGGCCAAAUAGGUUCAGGAACUGACCGAAUGGAAACUUGGAAGAGUCGCCAUUGUUGCUUUUGUUGUUUUUCAUGUUGAACAUCCCCCCACCGGUUGAGGGCCCUGGUGGAAGAUCUGGAGGAUUUGGCCGUGGGGGUGGUGGUUAUGGUGCAGGUCCUGCUAGCUCUAGUGUUGCUUAGGAGGCAGAUGUCUCACAAAUGCUUAAUUUUGGCUGUUAUAGUGAGCAGUAUAAAUCCUGUAGUGGUCAUUUGUUGACAUUAGUUUUUGUGUCUUUUUUUUUAAUGGGUUGUACUCAGUUGAGUUUGACAAGUGACCUAUAAUUAUAUUUCAUGGCACCAGUUACCUAUAAUAUUGUUGAUGUUGAAGUUUACGGAUUGGAUUGAAACUCAACAUCUGGUUUC